This 460-nucleotide ribosomal RNA is filed under the name uncultured bacterium. Its description in RNAcentral is "bacterial SSU rRNA". It matches the Rfam family "Bacterial small subunit ribosomal RNA", at positions 917 to 1382 of the family's 1533-position model. The record is from RNAcentral.
GGGCCCGCACAAGCAGUGGAGUAUGUGGUUUAAUUCGAAGCAACGCGAAGAACCUUACCAGGUCUUGACAUCGUAUGCAUAGCCUAGAGAUAGGUGAAAUCCCUUCGGGGACAUAUAGACAGGUGGUGCAUGGUUGUCGUCAGCUCGUGUCGUGAGAUGUUGGGUUAAGUCCCGCAACGAGCGCAACCCUUACCUUUAGUUGCUACGCAAGAGCACUCUAGAGGGACUGCCGUUGACAAAACGGAGGAAGGUGGGGAUGACGUCAAAUCAUCAUGCCCCUUAUGACCUGGGCUACACACGUACUACAAUGGCAAUUAACAGAGGGAAGCAAAGCAGCGAUGCAGAGCAAAUCCCCAAAAAUUGUCCCAGUUCAGAUUGCAGGCUGCAACUCGCCUGCAUGAAGUCGGAAUUGCUAGUAAUCGCAGAUCAGCAUGCUGCGGUGAAUACGUUCCCGGGCCUU